GCCGGCCUAAUUUGAUAUUAUUUUUAGGAUGUUAACGCACAAUUUCUGUGAGCAUUUAGUAGCGAUAAAAGCAAAUCUAUCCGGAUGAAUUUUCAUACCUUGAUUUAUUUAAAUAUAGAUAAAAAUUUAAAUAUUUAAUUGAUAUCUAAAUUUUUAUCUAUAUUCAUUAAAAAAAAUAAAUAAAUAAUAUCUAAUUUAUAUCUAAAUAUCCGAUAACACUUAUAAUCAUAUUUUACUUAUCCGUGUUUAUAUCCAUACUUUCAAUCUUAAUAUUUAAAUAUUGAUAUUAAUAUAUAUAUCUUUUCUGUACUGAUAAAAAAUAUAAUAUUGAUUACACAUGUCUAACGUGAAGAUGAUCAAAAAGCCUUUAGGUUGAGUUUGGUACUCUAAUGCAUAUGCUGGACGUGGUAUGUUAAGAUGGGAAUAAAUAUCACCUUAGGUGCUAUUUGGUAUAUCACCACUGAUGUAAUCACUGGAGUGAUAUGAUCACUAGGAUGAUAUAAAUAUUGAGAUAAUAUGCAAAUACUAAGGUAAUAUAUAAUCAUUGUAUUUAGUAUAUCGCUGGAAUAUUAUUAAAAAUAAAACUUCAUUGUGUUUGGUAUAUCACCAAAU
RNAcentral lists this long non-coding RNA (612 nucleotides) under Elaeis guineensis (African oil palm). Its description in RNAcentral is "long non-coding RNA (EGUI_LNC011594)". Lineage: Eukaryota; Viridiplantae; Streptophyta; Magnoliopsida; Arecales; Arecaceae. The record is from RNAcentral.